UGUCAAGGGAUGGGAAUCGAACCCACGACCUUCCUCUUACCGGGCAGAUGCCAUGACCACUAGGCUACCCUGGAC
RNAcentral lists this transfer RNA (75 nucleotides) under Cordylochernes scorpioides. RNAcentral's name for it is "tRNA-Thr". The record is from RNAcentral. Lineage: Eukaryota; Metazoa; Arthropoda; Arachnida; Pseudoscorpiones; Chernetidae.